UUAAGCGACUAAGCGUACACGGUGGAUGCCCUGGCAGUCAGAGGCGAUGAAGGACGUGCUAAUCUGCGAUAAGCGUCGGUAAGGUGAUAUGAACCGUUAUAACCGGCGAUUUCCGAAUGGGGAAACCCAGUGUGUUUCGACACACUAUCAUUAACUGAAUCCAUAGGUUAAUGAGGCGAACCGGGGGAACUGAAACAUCUAAGUACCCCGAGGAAAAGAAAUCAACCGAGAUUCCCCCAGUAGCGGCGAGCGAACGGGGAGCAGCCCAGAGCCUGAAUCAGUGUGUGUGUUAGUGGAAGCGUCUGGAAAGGCGCGCGAUACAGGGUGACAGCCCCGUACACAAAAAUGCACAUGCUGUGAGCUCGAUGAGUAGGGCGGGACACGUGGUAUCCUGUCUGAAUAUGGGGGGACCAUCCUCCAAGGCUAAAUACUCCUGACUGACCGAUAGUGAACCAGUACCGUGAGGGAAAGGCGAAAAGAACCCCGGCGAGGGGAGUGAAAAAGAACCUGAAACCGUGUACGUACAAGCAGUGGGAGCACGCUUAGGCGUGUGACUGCGUACCUUUUGUAUAAUGGGUCAGCGACUUAUAUUCUGUAGCAAGGUUAACCGAAUAGGGGAGCCGAAGGGAAACCGAGUCUUAACUGGGCGUUAAGUUGCAGGGUAUAGACCCGAAACCCGGUGAUCUAGCCAUGGGCAGGUUGAAGGUUGGGUGACACUAACUGGAGGACCGAACCGACUAAUGUUGAAAAAUUAGCGGAUGGCUUGUGGCUGGGGGUGAAAGGCCAAUCAAACCGGGAGAUAGCUGGUUCUCCCCGAAAGCUAUUUAGGUAGCGCCUCGUGAAUUCAUCUCCGGGGGUAGAGCACUGUUUCGGCAAGGGGGUCAUCCCGACUUACCAACCCGAUGCAAACUGCGAAUACCGGAGAAUGUUAUCACGGGAGACACACGGCGGGUGCUAACGUCCGUCGUGAAGAGGGAAACAACCCAGACCGCCAGCUAAGGUCCCAAAGUCAUGGUUAAGUGGGAAACGAUGUGGGAAGGCCCAGACAGCCAGGAUGUUGGCUUAGAAGCAGCCAUCAUUUAAAGAAAGCGUAAUAGCUCACUGGUCGAGUCGGCCUGCGCGGAAGAUGUAACGGGGCUAAACCAUACACCGAAGCUGCGGCAGCGACGCUUAUGCGUUGUUGGGUAGGGGAGCGUUCUGUAAGCCUGUGAAGGUGUACUGUGAGGUAUGCUGGAGGUAUCAGAAGUGCGAAUGCUGACAUAAGUAACGAUAAAGCGGGUGAAAAGCCCGCUCGCCGGAAGACCAAGGGUUCCUGUCCAACGUUAAUCGGGGCAGGGUGAGUCGACCCCUAAGGCGAGGCCGAAAGGCGUAGUCGAUGGGAAACAGGUUAAUAUUCCUGUACUUGGUGUUACUGCGAAGGGGGGACGGAGAAGGCUAUGUUGGCCGGGCGACGGUUGUCCCGGUUUAAGCGUGUAGGCUGGUUUUCCAGGCAAAUCCGGAAAAUCAAGGCCGAGGCGUGAUGACGAGGCACUACGGUGCUGAAGCAACAAAUGCCCUGCUUCCAGGAAAAGCCUCUAAGCAUCAGGUAACAUCAAAUCGUACCCCAAACCGACACAGGUGGUCAGGUAGAGAAUACCAAGGCGCUUGAGAGAACUCGGGUGAAGGAACUAGGCAAAAUAGGUGCCGUAACUUCGGGAGGAAGGCACGCUGAUACGUAGGUGAAGCGACUUGCUCGUGGAGCUGAAAUACAGUCGGAGAUACCAGCUGGCUGCAACUGUUUAUUAAAAACAACAGCACUGUGCAAACACGAAAGUGGACGUAUACGGUGUGACGCCUGCCCGGUGCCGGAAGGUUAAUUGAUGGGGUUAGCGCAAGCGAAGCUCUUGAUCGAAGCCCCGGUAAACGGCGGCCGUAACUAUAACGGUCCUAAGGUAGCGAUUCCUUGUCGGGUAAGUUCCGACCUGCACGAAUGGCGUAAUGAUGGCCAGGCUGUCUCCACCCGAGACUCAGUGAAAUUGAACUCGCUGUGAAGAUGCAGUGUACCCGCGGCAAGACGGAAAGACCCCGUGAACCUUUACUAUAGCUUGACACUGAACAUUGAGCCUUGAUGUGUAGGAUAGGUGGGAGGCUUUGAAGUGUGGACGCCAGUCUGCAUGGAGCCGACCUUGAAAUACCACCCUUUAAUGUUUGAUGUUCUAACGUGGACCCGUGAUCCGGGUUGCGGACAGUGUCUGGUGGGUAGUUUGACUGGGGCGGUCUCCUCCUAAAGAGUAACGGAGGAGCACGAAGGUUGGCUAAUCCUGGUCGGACAUCAGGAGGUUAGUGCAAUGGCAUAAGCCAGCUUGACUGCGAGCGUGACGGCGCGAGCAGGUGCGAAAGCAGGUCAUAGUGAUCCGGUGGUUCUGAAUGGAAGGGCCAUCGCUCAACGGAUAAAAGGUACUCCGGGGAUAACAGGCUGAUACCGCCCAAGAGUUCAUAUCGACGGCGGUGUUUGGCACCUCGAUGUCGGCUCAUCACAUCCUGGGGCUGAAGUAGGUCCCAAGGGUAUGGCUGUUCGCCAUUUAAAGUGGUACGCGAGCUGGGUUUAGAACGUCGUGAGACAGUUCGGUCCCUAUCUGCCGUGGGCGCUGGAGAACUGAGGGGGGCUGCUCCUAGUACGAGAGGACCGGAGUGGACGCAUCACUGGUGUUCGGGUUGUCAUGCCAAUGGCACUGCCCGGUAGCUAAAUGCGGAAGAGAUAAGUGCUGAAAGCAUCUAAGCACGAAACUUGCCCCGAGAUGAGUUCUCCCUGACCCUUUAAGGGUCCUGAAGGAACGUUGAAGACGACGACGUUGAUAGGCCGGGUGUGUAAGCGCAGCGAUGCGUUGAGCUAACCGGUACUAAUGAACCGUGAGGCUUAACCUU
Molecule: ribosomal RNA, 2904 nt
Filed under: Shigella flexneri K-272
Lineage: Bacteria; Pseudomonadati; Pseudomonadota; Gammaproteobacteria; Enterobacterales; Enterobacteriaceae
Description: bacterial LSU rRNA
Rfam family: Bacterial large subunit ribosomal RNA
Source: RNAcentral